ACAGGGAUUGCCUUAGUAACGGCGAGUGAAGCGGCAAUAGCUCAAAUUUGAAAUCUGGCUCUUUUAGAGUCCGAGUUGUAAUUUGCAGAGGGCGCUUUGGCAUUGGCAGCGGUCCAAGUUCCUUGGAACAGGACGUCACAGAGGGUGAGAAUCCCGUACGUGGUCGCUAGCCUUUGCCGUGUAAAGCCCCUUCGACGAGUCGAGUUGUUUGGGAAUGCAGCUCUAAAUGGGAGGUAAAUUUCUUCUAAAGCUAAAUACUGGCCAGAGACCGAUAGCGCACAAGUAGAGUGAUCGAAAGAUGAAAAGCACUUUGGAAAGAGAGUCAAAUAGCACGUGAAAUUGUUGAAAGGGAAGCGCUUGCAGCCAGACUUGCCUGUAGUUGCUUAUCUGGACUUUUGUCCAGUGCACUCUUCUGCGGGCAGGCCAGCAUCAGUUUGGGCGGUUGGAUAAAGGUCUCUGUCAUGUACCUCUCUUCGGGGAGGCCUUAUAGGGGAGACGACAUGCAACCAGCCUGGACUGAGGUCCGCGCAUCUGCUAGGAUGCUGGCGUAAUGGCUGUAAGCGGCCCGUCUUGAAACACGGACCAAGGAGUCUAACAUCUAUGCGAGUGUUUGGGUGUCAAGCCCAGACGCGUAAUGAAAGUGAACGGAGGUGGGAACCCUUUGGGUGCACCAUCGACCGAUCCUGAUGUCUUCGGAAGGAUUUGAGUAAGAGCAUGGCUGUUGGGACCCGAAAGAUGGUGAACUAUGCUUGAAUAGGGUGAAGCCAGAGGAAACUCUGGUGGAGGCUCGCAGCGGUUCUGACGUGCAAAUCGAUCGUCAAAUUUGGGCAUAGGGGCGAAAGACUAAUCGAACUAUCUAGUAGCUGGUUCCUGCCGAAGUUUCCCUCAGGAUAGCAGUAACGUAUUCAGUUUUAUGAGGUAAAGCGAAUGAUUAGAGGCCUGGGGGUUGAAACAACCUUCACCUAUUCUCAAACUUUAAAUAUGUAAGAAGUCCUUGUUACUUGAUUGAACGUGGACACUUGAAUGUACCGUUACUAGUGGGCCAUUUUUGGUAAGCAGAACUGGCGAUGCGGGAUGAACCGAACGCGGGGUUAAGGUGCCAGAAUAUACGCUCAUCAGACACCACAAAAGGUGUUAGUUCAUCUAGACAGCAGGACGGUGGCCAUGGAAGUCGGAAUCCGCUAAGGAGUGUGUAACAACUCACCUGCCGAAUGAACUAGCCCUGAAAAUGGAUGGCGCUCAAGCGUAUUACCCAUACCCCGCCGCCGGGGCAGAAUUUAUGCCCCGGCGAGUAGGCAGGCGUGGAGGCUCGUGACGAAGCCUUGG
RNAcentral lists this ribosomal RNA (1326 nucleotides) under Phaeosphaeriopsis glaucopunctata. RNAcentral describes it as "eukaryotic LSU rRNA". It matches the Rfam family "Eukaryotic large subunit ribosomal RNA", at positions 68 to 1414 of the family's 3401-position model. Lineage: Eukaryota; Fungi; Ascomycota; Dothideomycetes; Pleosporales; Phaeosphaeriaceae. The record is from RNAcentral.